AGAAGUUCCGCCUGCUUCCUGUCGGGGGCUCCUUGGAGGAUGAGUUUGACCUGGAGCUCAUUGAGGAGGAGUCUUCUGCCCCAGAGGCCUCCCACUAAGAAACCUCCCUUCCUUGUUCCCAGCAUUGGCAGGGAGACCUUGUGUUGGGGGAAGCAGAUGUUGGGGUUUUGUGGGGCCUUGCCAGUCUUUACACUUGUUCUCAGUUUCCCUCCUUCUACAGAGGACUUGCCUUGCCUCUGUCUGGGGAGGGAAGCCAGCUUGGUGGCCUAAAGCAGUGCCCCCAGAGUCUUCAAAGACUUCUAAGGCUGGCAGAAGCUUCUAAGGAGGUUAGGAAUAUCUAUCUUGAGAGAGAGCUGGGGACCUUUUUAGAUGCCCUCAGUCACUUUCACAUCCACAAGCCUGCUGAGCUGAGCCUGGUUCCUGGCUAAGCCCCUCGAGAUGCAGAUCCUUGGAGGAGACUGGCAGCUGCUCUGGAGUCAGUCCUCCCACCGAGUCCUCCCACCUGCACAAGGAUGCUCCCGCCUGUCACUUGCCUUGAAUCUCACGGAGCCUGUGUCAAUAAUUCAAUUAUUUCAAAACACCAAUAAAGAUCUGUUCAUGGAAAAAG
RNAcentral lists this long non-coding RNA (607 nucleotides) under Rattus norvegicus (Norway rat). RNAcentral describes it as "long non-coding RNA NONRATT020671". The record is from RNAcentral. Lineage: Eukaryota; Metazoa; Chordata; Mammalia; Rodentia; Muridae.